AGUGAACGCUGGCGGUAGGCCUAACACAUGCAAGUCGAACGGCAGCACAGUAAGAGCUUGCUCUUACGGGUGGCGAGUGGCGGACGGGUGAGGAAUACAUCGGAAUCUACUUUUUCGUGGGGGAUAACGUAGGGAAACUUACGCUAAUACCGCAUACGACCUACGGGUGAAAGCAGGGAAUCUUCGGACCUUGCGCGAUUGAAUGAGCCGAUGUCGGAUUAGCUAGUUGGCGGGGUAAAGGCCCACCAAGGCGACGAUCCGUAGCUGGUCUGAGAGGAUGAUCAGCCACACUGGAACUGAGACACGGUCCAGACUCCUACGGGAGGCAGCAGUGGGGAAUAUUGGACAAUGGGCGCAAGCCUGAUCCAGCCAUACCGCGUGGGUGAAGAAGGCCUUCGGGUUGUAAAGCCCUUUUGUUGGGAAAGAAAAGCAGCAGGUUAAUACCCCGCUGUUCUGACGGUACCCAAAGAAUAAGCACCGGCUAAUUUCGUG
This 492-nucleotide ribosomal RNA is filed under the name uncultured bacterium. Its description in RNAcentral is "partial 16S ribosomal RNA". It matches the Rfam family "Bacterial small subunit ribosomal RNA", at positions 29 to 507 of the family's 1533-position model. The record is from RNAcentral.